GACGAACGCUGGCGGCGUGCUUAACACAUGCAAGUCGAACGGAAAGGCCCUGCUUUUGCGGGGUGCUCGAGUGGCGAACGGGUGAGUAACACGUGAGUAACCUGCCCUUGACCUUGGGAUAACUUCAGGAAACUGGGGCUAAUACCGGAUAGGAGCUCCUGCUGCAUGGUGGGGGAUGGAAAGUUUCGGCGGUUGGGGAUGGACUCGCGGCUUAUCAGCUUGUUGGUGGGGUAGUGGCUUACCAAGGCUUUGACGGGUAGCCGGCCUGAGGGGGUGACCGGCCACAUUGGGACUGAGAUACGGCCCAGACUCCUACGGGAGGCAGCAGUGGGGAAUAUUGCACAAUGGGCGGAAGCCUGAUGCAGCAACGCCGCGUGCGGGAUGACGGCCUUCGGGUUGUAAACCGCUUUCGCCUGUGACGAAGCGUGAGUGACGGUAAUGGGUAAAGAAGCACCGGCUAACUACGUG
Molecule: ribosomal RNA, 468 nt
Filed under: uncultured bacterium
Lineage: Bacteria
Description: partial 16S ribosomal RNA
Rfam family: Bacterial small subunit ribosomal RNA
Source: RNAcentral